Molecule: ribosomal RNA, 240 nt
Filed under: uncultured bacterium
Lineage: Bacteria
Description: partial 16S ribosomal RNA
Rfam family: Bacterial small subunit ribosomal RNA
Source: RNAcentral
CCGACGGGUGAGUAACACGUAUGCAAUCCACCUGUAACAGGGGGAGUAACCCGGAGAAAUCCGGACUAAUACCCCAUAAUAUGGGCGCUCCGCAUGGAGAGUUCAUUAAAGAGAGCAAUUUUGGUUACAGACGAGCAUGCGCUCCAUUAGCCAGUUGGCGGGGUAACGGCCCACCAAGGCGACGAUGGAUAGGGGUUCUGAGAGGAAGGUCCCCCACAUUGGAACUGAGACACGGUCCAA